CCUACGGGAGGCAGCAGUGGGGAAUAUUGCACAAUGGGGGAAACCCUGAUGCAGCGACGCCGCGUGAGUGAAGAAGUAUUUCGGUACGUAAAGCUCUAUCAGCAGGGAAGAAAAUGACGGUACCUGACUAAGAAGCCCCGGCUAACUACGUGCCAGCAGCCGCGGUAAUACGUAGGGGGCAAGCGUUAUCCGGAUUUACUGGGUGUAAAGGGAGCGUAGACGGCAGCGCAAGUCUGGAGUGAAAUCCCAUGGCUUAACCAUGGAACUGCUUUUGAAACUGUGCAGCUAGAGUGCAGGAGAGGUAAGUGGAAUUCCUGGUGUAGCGGUGAAAUGCGUAGAUAUUAGGAGGAACACCAGUGGCGAAGGCGGCUUACUGGACUGUAACUGACGUUGAGGCUCGAAAGCGUGGGGAGCAAACAGGAUUAGAUACCCGUGUAGUC
RNAcentral lists this ribosomal RNA (440 nucleotides) under uncultured bacterium. RNAcentral describes it as "partial 16S ribosomal RNA". It matches the Rfam family "Bacterial small subunit ribosomal RNA", at positions 338 to 795 of the family's 1533-position model. The record is from RNAcentral.